AACGUAGGGGACGAACGUUAUCCGGAGUUACUGGGCGUAAAGGGCGUGUAGGCGGUUUGUUAAGUCUGGCGUGAAAGCUCUCGGCUAAACAGGGAGAGGUCGUUGGAUACUGGCGAACUAGAGGAUGGUAGAGGCGUGUGGAAUUCCGGGUGUAGUGGUGAAAUGCGUAGAGAUCCGGAGGAACACCAGUGGCGAAGGCGACACGCUGGGCCAUACCUGACGCUAAAGCGCGACAGCAUGGGGAGCAAACGGG
Molecule: ribosomal RNA, 253 nt
Filed under: uncultured bacterium
Lineage: Bacteria
Description: partial 16S ribosomal RNA
Rfam family: Bacterial small subunit ribosomal RNA
Source: RNAcentral